UAGGGAAUAUUGGACAAUGGGCGCAAGCCUGAUCCAGCCAUGCCGCGUGAGUGAUGAAGGCCUUAGGGUUGUAAAGCUCUUUCGGCGGGGACGAUAAUGACGGUACCCGCAGAAGAAGCCCCGGCUAACUUCGUGCCAGCAGCCGCGGUAAUACGAAGGGGGCUAGCGUUGUUCGGAAUCACUGGGCGUAAAGCGCAUGCAGGCGGAUCGUUAAGUCGGGGGUGAAAGCCCGAGGCUCAACCUCGGAACUGCCUUCGAUACUGGCGAUCUUGAGUCCGGGAGAGGUGAGUGGAACUGCGAGUGUAGAGGUGAAAUUCGUAGAUAUUCGCAAGAACACCAGUGGCGAAGGCGGCUCACUGGCCCGGUACUGACGCUGAGAUGCGAAAGCGUGGGGAGCAAACA
RNAcentral lists this ribosomal RNA (402 nucleotides) under uncultured bacterium. Its description in RNAcentral is "bacterial SSU rRNA". It matches the Rfam family "Bacterial small subunit ribosomal RNA", at positions 355 to 774 of the family's 1533-position model. The record is from RNAcentral.